RNAcentral lists this ribosomal RNA (273 nucleotides) under uncultured bacterium. Its description in RNAcentral is "partial 16S ribosomal RNA". It matches the Rfam family "Bacterial small subunit ribosomal RNA", at positions 524 to 796 of the family's 1533-position model. The record is from RNAcentral.
GACAGAGGGUGCGAACGUUGUUCGGAAUUACUGGGCGUAAAGCGUGUGUAGGCGGCAAGGCAAGUCGGAUGUGAAAUCCCGUGGCUCAACCAUGGACGUGCACUCGAAACUGCCUAGCUAGAGUCCCGGAGAGGAAGGUGGAAUGCUUGGUGUAGAGGUGAAAUUCGUAGAUAUCAAGCAGAACACCUGUGGCGAAGGCGGCCUUCUGGACGGUGACUGACGCUGAGACACGAAAGCGUGGGGAGCAAACAGGAUUAGAUACCCCCGUAGUCC